Molecule: long non-coding RNA, 1813 nt
Organism: Gorilla gorilla gorilla (western lowland gorilla)
Lineage: Eukaryota; Metazoa; Chordata; Mammalia; Primates; Hominidae
Exons: 2
Source: RefSeq, a predicted model, not a curated record
GGUCCCCUUUCUGCAACAGGGAGCUUUCUUCAUUCACUUAUUAAACUUUCACUCCAGCAUCACCCUUUGGGUCCAUACUCCUUAAUUCUCUUGGUCUUGGGUGAUACCUCACAAGGAGAGACUGCUACAUUGUGGUGCGUUGGUGAGACUGUAACAGACUCCUUUCCAAGUGUUUGGUGUCUGAGUUUUCAGAAGGUUUGACAUGCAUUUCUUCAUUUAAUGCUUAGAACAGACCACCACCAAUAACAACAACUCCACAUCUUAUUUUUCAGAUGGGGAAACUAUGAUUCAGAAUGAUAACAAUUAAUACAAAGCUGAAGCAAGAUUCAAAUCCAAGUCUUCUGACUUGAAAUCCUACUUUCUUGCCACUUUUUAAACUAUUUAUCUGAUGUUGGCAAUUCAUGGCAAUCAGCGGAUGGAUGAAGGGCUCUGGAGGUUUUGGUUACAGUCAGGGAGCAUUAGAAAGAACAAGUGUGCUUAGAUGAGGCGGGAAAGCCCAGGUACAUGAAGGAAAAUAAUAAUUUGCCUAAGUUGCCUAGUUUAAAAUCAUUUUUAAUUGGAAAGGUAUUUUUAUCUUCAUUUACAGAUGUGGAAACUAAGAUUCAGAAUGAUUAUUCAAAGAUCACAUAGCUAGUGGCAACCUCAAGGAUUGAAACCAGGUGUGUCUGUCUCUAAAUAUAGUGAUAAAAAGCAUGCAUUUUGGGUUGAACUCUGCUCUCCACAUAGAUCUUUGUCCAGCCUGCCCCCUAACCCUGGUGUCCUCAUGUGAAAUGAGGCUAAUAAUUGUCAGGCCUCUGAGCCCAAGCCAAGCCAUCACAUCCUCUGUGACUUGCACAUAUACGCCCAGAUGGCCUGAAGUAACUGAAGAAUCACAAAAGAAGUGAAUAUGCCCUGCCCCACCUUAACUGAUGACAUUCCACCACAAAAGAAGUGUAAAUGGCCGGUCCGGUCCUUGCCUUAAGUGAUGACAUUACCUUGUGAAAGUCCUUUUCCUGGCUCAUCCUGGCUCAAAAAGCACCCCCACUGAGCACCUUGCGACCCCCUACUCCUGCCUGCCAGAGAACAACCCCCUUUGACUGUAAUUUUCCCUUACCUACCCAAAUCCUAUAAACGGCCCCACCCCAUCUCCCUUUGCUGACUCUCUUUUCGGACUCAGCCCACCUGCACCCAGGUGAUUAAAAGCUUUAUUGCUCACACAAAGCCUGUUUGGUGGUCUCUUCACAUGGACACACAUGAAAUUUAGUGCCGUGACUCGGAUCGGGGGGGGGGUCCUCCCUUGGGAGAUCCAUCCCCUGUCCUCCUGUUCUUUGCUCCGUGAGAAAGAUCCACCUACGACCUCAGGUCCUCAGAUCGACCAGCCCAACCAAUAUCUCACCAAUUUUAAAUCAGAAGAAGGCAGGAAUGUCAGGCCUCUGAGCCCAAGCCAAGCCAUCACAUCCCCUGUGACUUGCAUGUAUACGCCCAGAUGGCCUGAAGUAACUGAAGAAUCACAAAAGAAGUGAAUAUGCCCUGCCCCACCUUAACUGAUGACAUUCCACCACAAAAGAAGUGUAAAUGGCCGGUCCUUGCCUUAAGUGAUGACAUUACCUUGUGAAAGUCCUUUUCCUGGCUCAUCCUGGCUCAAAAAGCACCCCCACUGAGCACCUUGCGACCCCCACUCCUGCCCACCAGAGAACAACCCCCCUUGGACUGUAAUUUUCCCUUACCUACCCAAAUCCUAUAAACGGCCCCACCCCAUCUCCCUUUGCUGACUCUCUUUUCGGACUCAGCCCACCUGCACCCAGGUGAUUAAAAGCUUUAUUGCUCACACAAA